CUUGUUCUUGGAGGUUGUGAGCUGCAAGAGGAAAUAUAUCUCCUUAGGAGAUUAAGCUGGACACAACCUGGCCAUCUGCUUUCUUGGCAAGGGCUGAUAUAGGCUGCCUUUAUGGAUAAGGGAGAUGGAACAGGGCAUGUCACUGGCCAACAGUGCUGCAGGCAGUGAGGCAUGGAGGAAGACAGACUCCUAGGCCAGCUGACUGCUGUCAACAUCUUAGAGUCCAUGGAGCAGCUCUCGUGAAAACUGUAUGUCUUCAAGGAACGGGAUGAAGAGGAGUCUUGAUACCAUUACAACUCCAGUGGUGGAAGACCUUAUUUUGACCAAAUAGCUCUGCCAGGGGGAAGGGCAGAGGGAGAGAGAGCAUCUUAAGCAGGCUCCAUAUCCAGCACAGAGACUGAUGAGGGGCUCAAUCUCACAACCCUGAAAUCAUGACUUGAGCCAAAAUGAAGAGUUGGACACUUAACUGACUGAACUACCCAGGGGCCCUAUAAAAUGUAACUUCUUUAUGUGGCUUGUAUAAUCCAGAUCCAAUUUAAAUAUCCAAAUAGA
Molecule: long non-coding RNA, 552 nt
Organism: Canis lupus familiaris (dog)
Lineage: Eukaryota; Metazoa; Chordata; Mammalia; Carnivora; Canidae
Exons: 2
Source: RefSeq, a predicted model, not a curated record